GUGGGGAAUAUUGGACAAUAGGCGAAAGCCUGAUCCAGCCAUGCCGCGUGUGUGAUGAAGGCCUUCGGGUUGUAAAGCUCUGUGGGGAGGGAAGAAAAAGCGGGAGAGUAACUGCUCUCGUGUUGACGGUACCUCCUUAGCAAGCACCGGCUAACUCUGUGCCAGCAGCCGCGGUAAUACAGAGGGUGCAAACGUUGCUCGGAAUUACUGGGCGUAAAGCGCGUGUAGGCUGACAUGCAAGUCGGGUGUGAAAUCCCAGGGCUCAACCUUGGAACUGCACUCGAAACUGCACGUCUUGAGUACUGGAGAGGGAAGCGGAAUUCCGGGUGUAGAGGUGAAAUUCGUAGAUAUCCGGAGGAACACCAGUGGCGAAGGCGGCUUCCUGGACAGUAACUGACGCUGAGACGCGAAAGCGUGGGGAGCAAACAGGAUUAGAUACCCGGGUAGUCC
This 450-nucleotide ribosomal RNA is filed under the name uncultured bacterium. RNAcentral describes it as "partial 16S ribosomal RNA". It matches the Rfam family "Bacterial small subunit ribosomal RNA", at positions 354 to 796 of the family's 1533-position model. The record is from RNAcentral.